RNAcentral lists this ribosomal RNA (266 nucleotides) under uncultured bacterium. Its description in RNAcentral is "partial 16S ribosomal RNA". It matches the Rfam family "Bacterial small subunit ribosomal RNA", at positions 793 to 1055 of the family's 1533-position model. The record is from RNAcentral.
GUCCACGCCGUAAACGAUGAUCACUAGCUGUUCGGGGAGUCGACCCCCUGAGUAGUGUAGCUAACGCGUUAAGUGAUCCGCCUGGGGAGUACGGUCGCAAGGCUAAAACUCAAAGGAAUUGACGGGGACCCGCACAAGCGGUGGAACGUGUGGUUUAAUUCGACACUAAACGAAAAACCUUACCGAGGCUUGACAUCUCUGGAAAGUCCUAGAAACAGGACCGUGCCCGAAAGGGAACCAGAUGACAGGUGCUGCAUGGCUGUCGU